UCUCAGGCGCCCAGCUCAGCGCUCCUAGAGUGAGAUCGCAGCCGUCUCUCUCACAUUUGCCCAGCCACAACAAGUGACCAUGGCACCUAGCAACGCGUCCAUACCAACCACAGCAGGAAUCAAUUUUGUGAAGCUACGGCGCUGCCGAGCGCUUCUGAGUAACACAAGGGUAAAGGGAAUCUGACAGCAGCAUCACUUGCACUAACCUGGAUAUACAGAUUUCUUUAGGAGACGUCCAACAACACUCACUGCAUAUAUUUAAAAUCUCUGUUGCUUAUAUGUUAUGUGUUUUAUUUAAUAAACAAUAGUCCUAUA
Molecule: long non-coding RNA, 315 nt
Organism: Hyla sarda
Lineage: Eukaryota; Metazoa; Chordata; Amphibia; Anura; Hylidae
Exons: 3
Source: RefSeq, a predicted model, not a curated record